RNAcentral lists this ribosomal RNA (440 nucleotides) under Tenellia sp. D DS-2016. RNAcentral's name for it is "partial 16S ribosomal RNA". It matches the Rfam family "Archaeal large subunit ribosomal RNA", at positions 1909 to 2665 of the family's 2987-position model. The record is from RNAcentral. Lineage: Eukaryota; Metazoa; Mollusca; Gastropoda; Nudibranchia; Trinchesiidae.
AGCUAUAUGAAAUUAUAUAUAGUCAAACCUGCCCAAUGUAUAUUGUUAUAUGAAUGGCCGCGGUACCCUGACCGUGCUAAGGUAGCGUAAUAAGUUGGCUUUUAAAUGGAGUCAGGUAUGAAUGGGAUAACUGGGUUUAGCUGUCUCAUAAGUGUUAUUUCGAAUUUACUGUUCAAGUGAAAAAGCUUGAUUUAUAUAAGGGGACGAGAAGACCCUUAAAAUUUUUUUUAAUUAUAGUUAAUUACUACUUCAAUUUUGUUGGGGCGACAUAGAAAUAAUAAUAACUUUCUGUAAUUAACUUGCCGGAUAUAUCAAGAAAGAACAAAUUACUUAAGGGAUAACAGCAUAAUUCUAAAAUUGAGUUUGUGACCUCGAUGUUGGACUAGGAAGCUAAUAGGUUAGAUGCCUAUUUUGGGGAUUCUGUUCGAAUUUUAACUCCU